Molecule: ribosomal RNA, 253 nt
Filed under: uncultured bacterium
Lineage: Bacteria
Description: partial 16S ribosomal RNA
Rfam family: Bacterial small subunit ribosomal RNA
Source: RNAcentral
UACGGGGGGGGCAAGCGUUGUUCGGAAUUACUGGGCGUAAAGGGCUCGUAGGUGGCCAACUAAGUCAGACGUGAAAUCCCUCGGCUUAACUGGGGAACUGCGUCUGAUACUGGAUGGCUUGAGUUCGGGAGAGGGAUGCGGAAUUCCAGGUGUAGCGGUGAAAUGCGUAGAUAUCUGGAGGAACACCGGUGGCGAAGGCGGCAUCCUGGACCGACACUGACGCUGAGGAGCGAAAGCCAGGGGAGCAAACGGG